CAGUAGCCGCGGUAAUACGAAGGGGGCUAGCGUUGUUCGGAAUUACUGGGCGUAAAGCGCACGUAGGCGGAUUUUUAAGUCAGUGGUGAAAUCCCGAGGCUCAACCUCGGAACUGCCUUUGAUACUGGAGAUCUUGAGUUCGGAAGAGGUUGGUGGAACAGCUAGUGUAGAGGUGAAAUUCGUAGAUAUUAGCUAGAACACCAGUGGCGAAGGCGGCCAACUGGUCCGAUACUGACGCUGAGGUGCGAAAGCGUGGGGAGCAAACAGGAUUAGAUACCCCUGUAGUCCCUGUCUCUUAUAC
RNAcentral lists this ribosomal RNA (301 nucleotides) under uncultured bacterium. RNAcentral describes it as "partial 16S ribosomal RNA". It matches the Rfam family "Bacterial small subunit ribosomal RNA", at positions 509 to 807 of the family's 1533-position model. The record is from RNAcentral.